This 145-nucleotide ribosomal RNA is filed under the name uncultured bacterium. RNAcentral describes it as "partial 16S ribosomal RNA". It matches the Rfam family "Bacterial small subunit ribosomal RNA", at positions 1357 to 1500 of the family's 1533-position model. The record is from RNAcentral.
UCGCGGUGAAUACGUUCCCGGGCCCUUGUACACACCGCCCGUCACACCAUGAGAGUCGAUAACACCCGAAGCCUGUGAGCUAACCGCAAGGGGGCAGCAGUCGAAGGUGGGGUUGAUGAUUGGGGUGAAGUCGUAACAAGGUACC